AUAUAGGUCAAGCUACAAAGGGCGCAUGGUGAAUGCCUUGGCAUCAGGAGCCGAUGAAGGACGUGAUAAGCUGCGAUAAGCUUCGGGUAGGCGCACAUAGCCUGAGAUCCGAAGAUCUCCGAAUGAGGAAACUCACAUGGGAAACCCCAUGUAUCAUUAAGUGAAUACAUAGCUUAAUGAAGGUAACCCAGGGAACUGAAACAUCUAAGUACCUGGAGGAAGAGAAAGAAAAAUCGAUUUUCUUAGUAGCGGCGAGCGAAAGGGAAAGAGCCCAAACCGGAAACUUGUUUCCGGGGUUGUGGACAUAACAUAAAAGUGGAGGCUAUUGUAACUGAAGAGAACUGGAAAGUUCCACCGUAGAAGGUAAUAGUCCUGUAAGUGAAACGAGAAGACCACGAGUUAUGAUCCAGAGUACCACGAGACACGUGAAACCUUGUGGGAAGCAGGGAGGACCACCUCCCAAGGCUAAAUACUACCUGAUGACCGAUAGUGAAGCAGUACCGUGAGGGAAAGGUGAAAAGAACCCCGGGAGGGGAGUGAAAUAGAACCUGAAACCGUGUGCCUACAACCGCUCAGAGCCCCUUAUGAGGGUGAUGAGGUGCUUUUUGUAGAACGAGCCAACGAGUUACGGUAUGUAGCAAGGUUAAGUACUUAAGGUACGGAGCCGAAGGGAAACCGAGUCUGAAUAGGGCGACUAGUUGCAUGCCGUAGACCCGAAACCGGGUGACCUAUCCAUGGCCAGGUUGAAGCGAGGGUAAAACCUCGUGGAGGACCGAACCACGUUGCUGUUGAAAAAGCAUGGGAUGAGCUGUGGAUAGCGGAGAAAUUCCAAUCGAACCCGGAGAUAGCUGGUUCUCUCCGAAAUAGCUUUAGGGCUAGCGUCGAGUAUGAGUAGUGGAGGUAGAGCACUGAAUGGGCUAGGGGGCAUAGCGCUUACCGAACCUUAUCAAACUCCGAAUGCCACAUACUUUGAGCUCGGCAGUCAGACUACGAAUGAUAAGAUCCGUGGUCAAAAGGGAAACAGCCCAGAUCGUCAGCUAAGGUCCCAAAGUGUAAGUUAAGUGGGAAAGGAUGUGAGAUUUCUAAGACAACUAGGAUGUUGGCUUAGAAGCAGCCAUUCAUUAAAAGAGUGCGUAAUAGCUCACUAGUCGAGAGAUCUUGCGCCGAAAAUGUAACGGGGCUAAACUUACCACCGAAGCUACGGGCUUGAACUUAGUUCAAGCGGUAGGAGAGCGUCGUAACCGGGCUGAAGUCGUACCGUAAGGAGCGGUGGACUGGUUACGAGUGAGAAUGUUGGCAUCAGUAGCGAGAUGUGGGUGAGAAUCCCACAGGCCGAAAACCUAAGGUUUCCUCAGGAAGGUUCGUCCGCUGAGGGUUAGUCGGGACCUAAGCCGAGGCCGAAAGGCGUAGGUGAUGGACAACUGGUUGAUAUUCCAGUACCACUACCAUCGUUAUUAUCGAUGGCGUGACGCAGGAGGAUAGUGUGUGCUAGCUAUUGGAUGCUAGUCUAAGCGUUUAGGCAGUGAGAGUAGGCAAAUCCGCUCUCAUAAUGCUGAGGCGUGAUGGGGAAGGUUCCACGGAACCGAAGUACAUGAUUCCACGCUGCCAAGAAAAGCGUCUAGAGAGAGAAGUAGUGCCCGUACCGCAAACCGACACAGGUAGGUGAGGAGAGAAUCCUAAGGCCGGCGGAAGAAUUACAGUUAAGGAACUCGGCAAAUUGACCCCGUAAGUUCGCGAGAAGGGGUGCCUACGAGAGUAGGCCGCAGAGAAUAGGCCCAAGCAACUGUUUAGCAAAAACACAGGUCUCUGCUAAAGCGUAAGCUGAUGUAUAGGGGCUGACGCCUGCCCGGUGCUGGAAGGUUAAGGGGAACACUUAGCGCAAGCGAAGGUGUGAACUUAAGCCCCAGUAAACGGCGGCCGUAACUAUAACGGUCCUAAGGUAGCGAAAUUCCUUGUCAGGUAAGUUCUGACCCGCACGAAUGGCGUAAUGACUUGGGCACUGUCUCAACUGUAAAUCCGGCGAAGUUGUAGUGCGAGUGAAGAUGCUCGCUACCCGCGAUUGGACGGAAAGACCCCGUAGAGCUUUACUGUAGCUUAGCAUUGAGUUUUGGUAUUGUCUGUACAGGAUAGGUGGGAGACUAGGAAACCAGGGCGUCAGCCUUGGUGGAGUCAACCUUGGGAUACCACCCUGACAGUACUGAAAUUCUAACUGGCGGCCAUGAAUCUGGUCACAGGACAUUGUUAGGUGGGCAGUUUGACUGGGGCGGUCGCCUCCUAAAAAGUAACGGAGGCGCCCAAAGGUUCCCUCAGAACGGUCGGAAAUCGUUCGAAGAGUGCAAAGGCAGAAGGGAGCCUGACUGCGACACCCACAAGUGGAGCAGGGACGAAAGUCGGGCUUAGUGAUCCGGUGGUACCUCGUGGGAGGGCCAUCGCUCAACGGAUAAAAGCUACCUCGGGGAUAACAGGCUGAUCUCCCCCAAGAGUCCACAUCGACGGGGAGGUUUGGCACCUCGAUGUCGGCUCGUCGCAUCCUGGGGCUGAAGUAGGUCCCAAGGGUUGGGCUGUUCGCCCAUUAAAGCGGCACGCGAGCUGGGUUCAGAACGUCGUGAGACAGUUCGGUCCCUAUCCGUCGCGGGCGUAGGAAAUUUGAGAGGAGCUGUCCUUAGUACGAGAGGACCGGGAUGGACUGACCUCUGGUGUACCAGUUGUUCCGCCAGGAGCACAGCUGGGUAGCUAAGUCGGGAAUGGAUAAACGCUGAAAGCAUCUAAGCGUGAAGCCAACCUCAAGAUGAGAUUUCCCAUAGCGUAAGCUAGUAAGAUCCCUUGAAGAACACAAGGUUGAUAGGUCGGGGGUGUAAGCAUGGUAACAUGUUCAGCUGACCGAUACUAAUAGAUCGAGGGCUUGACCAAAU
RNAcentral lists this ribosomal RNA (2912 nucleotides) under Clostridium perfringens. RNAcentral describes it as "23S ribosomal RNA". It matches the Rfam family "Bacterial large subunit ribosomal RNA". The record is from RNAcentral. Lineage: Bacteria; Bacillati; Bacillota; Clostridia; Eubacteriales; Clostridiaceae.